This is an RNA transcript of Gavia stellata (red-throated loon), 1099 nucleotides long. It is a transcript of the gene named F-box only protein 15-like, with no coding region annotated. NCBI's taxonomy places the organism in Eukaryota, Metazoa, Chordata, Aves, Gaviiformes, Gaviidae. The record is from RefSeq and is a predicted model, not a curated record. The transcript has 3 exons.
UACAGAAGUUGUAUACAAUCAAAGUAUACAUAGUCAUCAUAUUUCCAAGAAACAGUUAACAUAUUCAUACAAUUUCCGAGAACUCAUUAGUAUGUGUAAAUGCUCGUGACGCAUGCGCCUUCAGGUACACAGGUGGUUGUCUAAGGUGCUCUGGUGGUCGUCCAUAGUCUUCCUCACUGCUUCAGUGAAUGUCCAUGAAGGAAGUAGCAGUACAAGGGGAAGGAAGGCUUUUUAAAAACCACGUACUGUAGUGUGCUAUUGAGAGGCAUAAAAGAGCGGGAAGUUCCCAAUAUCCGCUGAUCCUACUUUCUAGAGCACUAAUCAAACAUUUUCUGUGUAUGUGGUUGAGAUGUUUAUCAACCUUCCUGGCAUAUUGUAAGAAUUAACUGAAUAACUUUUUUUUUAAUUAUUUUUCUGCUAACAUUAUGCUCAGUGGUAGCUGAGACAUGCAUGUAAGAAUAAUUAAGUAACUCUUCUUGACAUGAAUGUGGUUUUCCUCUUCAUUCUCUUUUUAUUUUCAGUGGAAUCUGGCUGAAAAUCUAUUCCGGUUGUUUUCAGCCAAAAAGGACAAUUUGGAAAAUGAAGUCUGAACCACCAGAAACUGUUUCCUUGGGCUGUGCUGCUCUGCGUGAUAGAAAGCCUGGGUACUGGAAGAAAGAAUACCUCUUCAAACAAAUAGCUGCUGUCAAAAUGAGAAGCCUCUGGCUUGAGGUGGAGAAUUGUUCUAAAGGACAAAAAUGGAAAGGAACACGUAAUGGAGAAGGCAAACCUGUCGAUUAAGGACACAUCUGUUACUAUACUUUGGUAUAGUACAAAUUGGCCAUGCUUAGACAUCCUGUCAAGCCUGAGACUGUUUGGAGUUAUGCCAUUGCUUCCUGACCAAAGCAGAGCUCCCAGCAAGAAUGGAACAGUGAACAUCAGCCCCGGGACCAAGGGCACCGCGGGCAACGCGAGUACUGCGGGCACUACGUCGUUUGCCGCGCUGGUGGCGACGAGCUCUCCGUGCUUGCAGCUGCCACGUGUUGCUGGCAGCAAUGAAUUUGCUCCGCCUCCUCGUCCUGCUGGCCCUGUGCGGGCCUGCGCACGGCACGUGGGACAC